GCUGUAGCUCAGUGAUAGAGCUUCUCCUUUUCAUGUAGAAGGUUCCAGAAUCAAUCCUGGGCAUCUCCA
Molecule: non-coding RNA, 69 nt
Organism: Podarcis lilfordi (Lilford's wall lizard)
Lineage: Eukaryota; Metazoa; Chordata; Lepidosauria; Squamata; Lacertidae
Source: the annotation of a GenBank genome assembly